GUGGUGAUUUUGCAGUUGAAGUUGGAAGGUACUUCAUUCAGAAUUGAUUUGCAGCUGUUUGGCAUAUUGGUUUUAUUCCUUUUUGUGCUUUUCAUGUUCAUUUUGUUUCAUUUUUAUCAAGAAUUGAGUUUAGGAUUUCAAUAUUCAAAUGCGGUCAUCGUGCUUCUCUUUCAAAACUGUAAUUUAGCAUCCAAUAGUAUCUCUUUCCAUGAUAUAUGGAUGAGAACAGUUGGUGUUCAUAAAUUUGAGUCAAACUCUGAUCAUUCAGGCCAAGGAGAUGAAAUUUUCUUUUAGUUUCCUCUGAUUGCAAAGCGAAAAAAUUUCUUGGAUCAAGUUUUUUUUUUUUUUUUUGUGGCUUGUUAAUGCUUAAAUUGUUACAUGGCUG
RNAcentral lists this unclassified non-coding RNA (385 nucleotides) under Hevea brasiliensis (rubber tree). The record is from RNAcentral. Lineage: Eukaryota; Viridiplantae; Streptophyta; Magnoliopsida; Malpighiales; Euphorbiaceae.